ACACUGCUGAGGAGUCCCACAAUAGGAUGAAACGACCGUCCAGUGU
This 46-nucleotide non-coding RNA is filed under the name Schistosoma bovis. RNAcentral also lists the same sequence under 1 other name. Lineage: Eukaryota; Metazoa; Platyhelminthes; Trematoda; Strigeidida; Schistosomatidae. The record is from RNAcentral.